AAAAGCUGUGCUAUGUUACUCGAUGGGGGAUGGACAGUUUUAUUACGUUAUCCAGCCUUCCAGGUGACUACGGUAUGGGUCCAGGUGCUUGUACAGAAGUCGUGGACCUAUUGUCUAACCGUCAUUGUCGCUCGAUAAUGAAGAUCCCCGAAUAAUGGCCUUAUAGAACGAUCCUGACAAUAGGUGAGAGAGUCCGGCCGUGAGACGGUAUUGAACUAACUCUUCUGUUCUCAAUCAAUAUGCAAGUGUCUAGACAUGCACACAGGACCUACAGAAUAUGAGGAAACUCAUUCCUUGUAUUAGAAUUACUGUCUUGCGUGGCUUUAAGCAGCUAUUAACAAACAGGUGAAACACUUUGCGCGGGGAAAUACGUUACAUAUUUCACAUUCGUCAUCAGAUAAUUGACCACCCUCAAGUUAUCCAUUACAUCGCGAUCACUUGCAUUUUUUUUUCUAAUGAAAUAUAUACCUUUUAUGUGCAGUCUGCAUGAACAACAAAGUUGCAAUGAUUUUUGUUUUCCCCAUGGAAGGAUGUAUGUUUCGGAAUAGUGAGCUCAGGCAUGUGUUGACGUGGAAGCUUGUUCGUCAAAGAGUCAAGGACCGCCCUUAAAACGCAACCGAAGACACGCACAGAAAUCGUCCGAAAACUUCCAUGGAGAAGCUGAACCGAAUCGCAGACUACACCUCGUAAAAUCAGUGCGCUCGUCGCCUGCCAUCUCAUGAAUACAUAACAAUCCCAGAAUGCUUUGGGAUGAUCAUGUGUGGUUGGAAUGGCGGUCUGGCUUUUGACAAUGUGUCUGGGAACUAAUGCGUCUGCAUUUCCUCGUAAAAAACGUCUGAGGGGUGCUUUUAUCAGAGGGAGGCUAAAUGGAGGACGAUGGGAAAGCGACGAGGAGUUUUUUUAGAGGUCGCCGGUGCUCGGGACCGAGGCGUCGGUCAAGGAAACGAACUUGUCAAUGCCAUCGCACGCCGACUUUUCAGAACAGUCACAAUCACACCAUGUGCCGUGGAACACACGAAGAGAAUCUAGACGACAGCAAGCAGCCUGUAUGAGCUGUACAUUUAGGGUAACCCUGGGCCUCUCAAACGGGUCACAUGACUAGCCCCGCUCCCAUUUACUAUGAGGACGUGAAGGGUCAAAGUUCGCUUUGAGAUCCCAUUCCAGAGCUGGAAUCUAAUGGAAUUUAUUGUGGAAUAAAUCAGGUCUUAAUGUCUGUUUUAUUUUUAUUGCCAAACAACCCACUAUAGUAAAGAGAAGGCCUUCUAUGGAGCUAUCUGUACAUACCCAAGAAUCUUGGACUACUAUGGAUAUACUCAAAUAGGACUGGAUAAUAGUAAGAAGGUAAGUGGGACAGGGUUUACAUUCCCCCCAUCAGAGAUAAGCAUAGGGGGGUUGCCCCUAAAAUAGUUAAAAUAAAAAAGCCCUAUCAAUAUUGAAUAUAAAUCCCCUCGAGUAGGACUGAAUGAUCGUCAGAAAUUAAGGGGGACAGGGUUUACGUUCUCCCAUUAGAGAUAAGCAUGGGGGGUGCCCCUAAAUAAAAAAUAGCCCUAUUAAAAUUGAAUAAAAAGCCCCUCGAAUAGGACUGAAUGAUCGUCAGAAAUUGAGGGGGACAGGGUUUACAUUAUCCCAUUAGAGAUAAACAUGGGGGGGAGGGGUUGCC
Long non-coding RNA from Lytechinus variegatus (green sea urchin), 1660 nucleotides. RefSeq lists it as uncharacterized. The transcript is spliced from 4 exons. Lineage: Eukaryota; Metazoa; Echinodermata; Echinoidea; Temnopleuroida; Toxopneustidae. The record is from RefSeq and is a predicted model, not a curated record.